Molecule: unclassified non-coding RNA, 401 nt
Filed under: soil metagenome
Description: partial contains 5.8S ribosomal RNA, internal transcribed spacer 2, and large subunit ribosomal RNA
Rfam family: 5.8S ribosomal RNA (bases 1-121)
Source: RNAcentral
GAUGAAGAACGUAGCGAAAUGCGAUAAGUAAUGUGAAUUGCAGAAUUCAGUGAAUCAUCGAAUCUUUGAACGCACCUUGCGCCCCUUGGUUAUUCCAAAGGGCAUGCCUGUUUGAGUAUCAUGAACACCUCAACUCUUGUGGUUUCCCACAAUGAGCUUGGACUGUGGAGGUUUUGUUGGCCCUGUGGUCAGCUCCUCUCAAAUGGAUCAGCUUACCGGUGUUUGGUGGCAUUACGGGUGUGAUAUCUAUCUACGCUCGUGGUCGUCUCCAAAUAACCUCCAGUGAUGGAGGUUCGCUGGAGCUUAUAAAUGUCUCUCCCCAGUGAAGACAGCCUUUGAACGUUCGAUCUCAAAUCAGGUAGGACUACCCGCUGAACUUAAGCAUAUCAAUAAGCGGAGGA